RNAcentral lists this ribosomal RNA (1470 nucleotides) under uncultured prokaryote. RNAcentral's name for it is "partial 16S ribosomal RNA". It matches the Rfam family "Bacterial small subunit ribosomal RNA". The record is from RNAcentral.
AGAGUUUGAUCGUGGCUCAGAAUGAACGCUGGCGGCGUGCUUAACACAUGCAAGUCGAACGAUGAAACCUAGCUUGCUAGGUGGAUUAGUGGCGCACGGGUGAGUAAUAUAUAGAUAAUGUGCCUCUUAGUCUGGGAUAGCCAUUGGAAACGAUGAUUAAUACUAGAUACUCCUUCUAACUAUAAUGUUAGUUGGGAAAGUUUUUCGCUAAGAGAUCAGUCUAUAUCCCAUCAGCUUGUUGGUAGUGUAAGAGACUACCAAGGCUAUGACGGGUAGCGGGUUUGAGAGGAUGAUCCGCCACACUGGUACUGAGACACGGACCAGACUCCUACGGGAGGCAGCAGUGAGGAAUAUUGCACAAUGGAGGAAACUCUGAUGCAGCAACGCCGCGUGGAGGAUGACGCAUUUCGGUGUGUAAACUCCUUUUAUAUGUCAAGAAAAUGACGGUAGCAUAUGAAUAAGCACCGGCUAACUCCGUGCCAGCAGCCGCGGUAAUACGGAGGGCGCAAGCGUUACUCGGAAUCACUGGGCGUAAAGAGCGUGUAGGCGGGUUAAUAAGUUGGAAGUGAAAUCCUAUGGCUCAACCAUAGAACUGCUUUCAAAACUGUUGACCUAGAAUAUGGGAGAGGUAGAUGGAAUUUCUGGUGUAGGGGUAAAAUCCGUAGAGAUCAGAAGGAAUACCGAUUGCGAAGGCGAUCUACUGGAACAUUAUUGACGCUGAGACGCGAAAGCGUGGGGAGCAAACAGGAUUAGAUACCCUGGUAGUCCACGCCCUAAACGAUGCACACUAGUUGUUGCCUUGCUCGACAAGGCAGUAAUGCAGUUAACACAUUAAGUGUGCCGCCUGGGGAGUACGGUCGCAAGAUUAAAACUCAAAGGAAUAGACGGGGACCCGCACAAGCGGUGGAGCAUGUGGUUUAAUUCGACUAUACGCGAAGAACCUUACCUGGACUUGACAUAGAAAGAAUAACGCAGAGAUGUGAUAGUGCUAGCUUGCUAGAACUUUCAUACAGGUGCUGCACGGCUGUCGUCAGCUCGUGUCGUGAGAUGUUGGGUUAAGUCCCGCAACGAGCGCAACCCUCGUGUUUAGUUACUAACAGUUCGGCUGAGGACUCUAAACAGACUGCCUGGGUAACCAGGAGGAAGGUGAGGACGACGUCAAGUCAUCAUGGCCCUUAUGUCCAGGGCUACACACGUGCUACAAUGGGGCAUACAAAGAGCAGCGAUACCGUGAGGUGGAGCAAAUCUCAUAAAAUAUCUCCCAGUUCGGAUUGAAGUCUGCAACUCGACUUCAUGAAGUUGGAAUCGCUAGUAAUCGUAGAUCAGCAAUGCUACGGUGAAUACGUUCCCGGGUCUUGUACUCACCGCCCGUCACACCAUGGGAAUUGAAUUCAUUCGAAGCGGGGAUGCUAAGAUAGCUACCUUCCACAGUGGAAUUAGCGACUAGGGUGAAGUCGUAACAAGGUAACC